RNAcentral lists this transfer RNA (85 nucleotides) under Cupriavidus sp. UYMU48A. RNAcentral describes it as "tRNA-Pro". The record is from RNAcentral. Lineage: Bacteria; Pseudomonadati; Pseudomonadota; Betaproteobacteria; Burkholderiales; Burkholderiaceae.
CGGGGCGCCGGCCAGCAGGCGCGCCAUCUUGGGCCCUAGCAUGGGGUGCAGGUGGUCGGAGGUUCAAAUCCUCUCGCCCCGACCA